This 254-nucleotide ribosomal RNA is filed under the name uncultured bacterium. RNAcentral describes it as "partial 16S ribosomal RNA". It matches the Rfam family "Bacterial small subunit ribosomal RNA", at positions 524 to 777 of the family's 1533-position model. The record is from RNAcentral.
UACGAAGGGGGCUAGCGUUGCUCGGAAUUACUGGGCGUAAAGCGCACGUAGGCGGCUUUCUAAGUCGGGGGUGAAAUCCUGGAGCUCAACUCCAGAACUGCCUUUGAUACUGAGGAUCUUGAGUUCGGGAGAGGUGAGUGGAACUGCGAGUGUAGAGGUGAAAUUCGUAGAUAUUCGCAAGAACACCAGUGGCGAAGGCGGCUCACUGGCCCGAUACUGACGCUGAGGCACGAAAGCGUGGGGAGCAAACAGGG